GGAGGGGUGGCAGAGCGGCUUAAUGCACUGGUUUCGAAAACCAGCAUACUUAACGGUAUCGGGGGUUCAAAUCCUCUCCCCUCCGCCA
Molecule: transfer RNA, 88 nt
Filed under: Candidatus Omnitrophota bacterium
Lineage: Bacteria; Pseudomonadati; Candidatus Omnitrophota
Description: tRNA-Ser
Rfam family: tRNA
About the family: Transfer RNA (tRNA) molecules are approximately 80 nucleotides in length. Their secondary structure includes four short double-helical elements and three loops (D, anti-codon, and T loops).
Source: RNAcentral